Molecule: ribosomal RNA, 545 nt
Filed under: uncultured eukaryote
Lineage: Eukaryota
Description: bacterial SSU rRNA
Rfam family: Eukaryotic small subunit ribosomal RNA
Source: RNAcentral
CGUUCGGAAUGAGUACGAUUCGAAACCACCUAACGAGGAACGAUCGGAGGGCAAGUCUGGUGCCAGCAGCCGCGGUAAUUCCAGCUCCAAUAGCGUACGUUAAAGUUGCUGCAGUUAAAAAGCUCGUAGUUGAACGUUCGGGUUCCGCGGGACGGGGCCGCCCCGCGAGGGACGGCGCCGCCCCGGGGCUCGUGAUAUCUCAUCUCGCCGCCCGUCGCGAGGCGGACGGAGGGAUGGAUGAGGUUACCUGGAAAAAAUCGGGGCGAUCUAGGCGGGCGAACCUCGCCAACGAACGAUCGGACAUGGGAUAACGGAAGAGGGCGUCGGCUCGACUUCGUCGGUUCCUCGGGCCGAGGCACGUACGGUGAAUAGGGACGGUCGGGGCCGCCCGUACCGGGUCGUGAGAGGUGAAAUUCUAGGAUCGACCCGAGACGAACCGCCGCGAAAGCAUUCGGCAAGGACGCUUUCAUUAAUCAAGAACGAAAGUCGGGGGAUCGAAGACGAUCAGAUACCGUCGUAGUCCCGACCGUAAACGAUGCCGACCC